UACUACAGUAGACCCUAGACCAAUCCCCACCCCUCCCGUGCUGCUCCUCUCCCCCAAUCCCUUGCUGCUCCUCCUCCUCCUCAAUCCCCUACAUCCGGUGAGCCGCCGUUGGACGCCUCUUCUCCUCUUUCCCUCUGGCAACCACGACCUCCCGCGGAUCCCCAAGCAGCAAGCUCGUCAUGGCAACGUUGGUUGAUGGUGCUGGGAAGAGAGGAGCAUAGGUGGUCGCCAUCGGUGGGAGGAGCGAACGGCCGCUGCGGCCUAUCUCUCUCCGACGCGUCCUCUAGGCUCGUCCUUCCCUCCUUCGUAGGGUCGCACGUCCGCCAUCGCGGCCGCGACCUCCGGCGAUCUCGUCAUGGCGAGGGUGGUUGGUGAUGCCGGGCGGAGCGCGAUGUGGAGGAGCGGGAGGCCGCCGCUGCCUCUCUCUCCCUCCGACGCCCCCUCCGCCCGCAUCCUUCCCUCCUCCGUAGGGGUGGACGUCCACCAUCGCUGAGCCAUUCAAGAUGACUCCAUCGUCCUUGCCCUCAGCCUGCAAGUUGCAAUGCUCCGCCUCCAGGUGCCUUCGCUGGUUCGCCCGUGCAGAAAGGAGACAAGGACAUGGGAGUGCUUGCGGGAAGCCUUGUUUGUUGGGUUGGUACAAGUGGAUGUGACAAGUCUGUUGGAGAUCUUCUCAAUGCAGUUGCCACUUUGUCCAUCGUCCUGCUCUCAUCAACUAUAUUGUGUCAGUGAAGAUAAAGGGCCAUGCACGGCUUGAUGCUUCCCUAUCAAUUCUUUCUAAUGUUGCUUCUGAAUAUUUGGAUAGUGGGAAGUUUGAAAAGCCUGUGGUGUAGGUAUGCUUUUGCAGUAGAAGACCAGAAAUAUAUAUGCUUCUGGAAAUUAUAAUCAAUGUAUGCCACUGUGCACACUAGAGAAAAAUUAUUAUGGUGACUUGGUAAUGUGAUUGUUUGAAUGCUAAUAUAGGAUAAUUUUACACUUCCAUUGAUUGGAUAUCAAAGGUACACCUUUCUUUCGAGUAGCGUAUUCUUGGUCAGUUUUAUAGGCAUACAAAUUCAGAUUGAUUCACGACGGCUAUAAAUUUAUAUUUUUAAUAAGCAAAGAUAUUUCAUUUAGGCUGAACUUCGAUUAUCUUUGUGUGCUCCUUCUGAUUACAUCAUCCUUCUUCUCUUUUCUAAUACCAUUUGUUCAGGAAAUUGUUAUUUGUUUUUAUUUGGUCAUACUUUGUCCAUGAUAGCAAGUACGACGGUCAUGAUCCUCUCCUCCUCCGACUACAUCAGUUUCAGCCUCAUCAAGCGCGUCAUGAUCCAGACUGCGCCAUUCACAGGAAUGUGUAUCUGGGGCUGCUGCUAACCUACAGGCAUAUUAUUUUACCAGGUGAUGACCAGAUCAACCUCUCCCCAGUUGGUUCUUGUGGAUGCAAGGUAACCAGAAUAUCUCGCUUAUCACUUAUUUGUUGAAAGAAGAGUUUACCUCAAUGGAUAUGUUAUACCGGCAAAAUUAUGAAUUUUUUUGGUAAAAAAGAGCUCCGGGCUGUGUAUGCACUAUGCACUGCUAUUUUUUGUUUACAUCUUGAGGUUUUGAUACAUGUGUCAAUCUAAAGGUAUAAUAGAUACCCCCAUGGGGGUCUCACAACGUGUUGAGCUUCUCAGCCACAGAGUUGUUGCCCCUCAUUCCUUUUCUUGAGAACAUUGUGCAUCGUUUCAUUAAGAAUUCGAAACUAAUGGUGAUCUCUUUCACCUUGCAGCUGAGCAUUAUUCUGGGAUAUGUCUCACGGUUGUCCUUGGUCUUUUCACCGAUUAAGAGACCCAGAGGUUCACAUGGUUAUUUUUUCCAGCUCCACUAAUUUCAUAUGUAGCAUGCUAUAGCAUGGUGAAGGAACACUAUCAGUUUUUUUUUUUUGAGAUGGACACUAUCAGUUACAGAAGAAAUGAAGAAUAGUGGUAAGAGGCCAGAAAGGUGUGUUAAUUUAAUUUCUAGGUUAGAUCGGGGUGGAGUUUAUUACUUUUCAUAGCAAACUUGCAAAAAGCAGUUGCAUGCAUUUUCGUUACAAAGAGAAGCUCAGCAGCAACAAUGAGUUUGUUACUUCUAUUACUAAGAUUUAGUUAAAGAGAAUAUUCCAUAUCAGCAAGCCUUCAUAAGCUUUUUCCCAAGUAUCUUCUAUUGAUGGCUUGUUUUUUAAAUACACAUUUGUUGAUGAAUUCUGUAAACAAAUGACACCUAUCUAUUGUCAGGACAGUGAUAAAAUAUGAGGAUUUUCCACACCGAGUCCAGCGAGCCACAGACGUGUCAGGAGAUGUUUCUUUGUAGGAAGAGUUGACAAUGAGAUAGACUUACACAUACAGUUUGUUGUGUUUUGGACUACACACAUCAGAUUUACUACAACUCUCUGUAGAGUUAACAAUAAUGAUUAUUUAAUAAUUAGUGUUUUAGAUGUUGAUUCAUGGCAAUGUGGAUAUUAUGGUUUACCCUCUUUGUGACUCUGGUUACAAUUUUCUAACAUUAUUUAUCAGAAUAUGAUGUUUCCGAUUCGAGAAAAUGAUAAGAGCAAGAAUUCAAUGGAAGAGUUUAUGAUGGACACAGUGAUUGCCUCUCUCUCCCUCUCUCUCUAUUGCUUGAAUAGUCAAAAUUCAUCAUGAUUUUUCAUGUUAUGGUCUGUGCUAAACGUAAACAUGAGUUUCUUUCUUUUGACUAUGUAACCUAUUUUAUUUGAUUUUGAUCAGUGCUCAUCUAGGUUGAAUGUGGUGUCCUUCUGCUCUUGUCAUCUCCUUGACGACCACUCGUCUUCAGGUGCAAGUGGAGCCGUGGCCAGAUGGUUUAUCCAGCAAUGGAAAUUUGUCUCUUGGUUCACCAACGGGGUCGCCUGUGUCUAGAUGCAAAAAAAGCCUGAGCCAGAGUUCAGCCACCGAUGUCGGAGGUUGUGCAGUAGCUGGCCUAUUGUGUAGAGAUCAGGUGUGAGGCCGGUGCUUGGUGGCGGCAUCGAUUAUCUCUGGCACGAGGAUUCCAGUAGCUAUUUUUUCUAGGAGAAGAAGUCCUUUUGCUACAAACAUUUUCAGUCUGGGGAGAGGUACAGAACAACUUACAAGUAUUGCAGCUUAUUUGGUUUUCAGUAUAAAUAAAAAUUGUGUACUGUCAUUUCCAGUUCGCUAGCUUUCCCAUUCUGGAAAAAGUAUGCUCAGUUCUGUUUGGGAGUAGAGAACCAUGGUUAUCAUCAUUGUCGGAGGCAAAAGCCAGAACAGUUUUAUUUCUACUUUCAAGUGUUGUGGUUUUAUAUUUUUGAAGGACACGGCUUACAUAUUUUGUGUGCUUAAAUAGCAAAGAUGUAACUUGAAGCAUUGAUGUUCUCUCAUGCCAACUGUUCAGACUGCAUCCAUUUGUUUGCACAAUACAGUACACUUAUGGUGAAAUUUGUGAUAUGGAACGUGAGAAGCCUACAAUUUCUUACGAUGAAAACAAUCAGCAUGUGCUUUAAAUACCAUUUUCUGGUAAAAAAGAGUUCCCGCCAUAUUUGUGUGUGCUUGGAAAGUUACUCAGCAGUCCGGGCUUUGAAUAGAGGAACCAAUUAGAAGCUUCACUCAAACUACGACAAUUUCAGCAAUCCGCUCUCGGUUUGGGUUGGGUGCUUGGGUUAGGAUAGGGUGCCGGUCAAUGUUUUUUUUUUCUCCUUGUGCAGAGGGCGGCGGUCCUUCUGGUAUGCGACAAGCAGUGCAACCUUGUGUAUAUAGAAUCAAUUCUAACAUUUAUGCCAAUAUUUACUAUUGUAGGAUACUCCAAACGUAGUUGGUAUUGUGGGUAAAAUAUAUGUUACUCGACCUUAUGCUACAAAAGCUUGGUGUUUGUAAGGCUGAGUGCCAUCUUGAAAUGUGCGACAAUGUAAAAUUUGCGUGACUGCUUUUUAACACCUCUAUAUAGCCGCUUGAACUGCUCUUGUGUACU
Lolium rigidum is the source of this 3930-nucleotide long non-coding RNA. RefSeq lists it as uncharacterized. The record is from RefSeq and is a predicted model, not a curated record. NCBI's taxonomy places the organism in Eukaryota, Viridiplantae, Streptophyta, Magnoliopsida, Poales, Poaceae. The transcript is spliced from 13 exons.